UGGCUUCCGAUGUUCUCAAACUGGACAACACCUGCUUUGGACGGAUGAAGCUAGACCCGUGUUUUUUCACUAUAUCUGCUCUCUGGAGUCAUCUGUUGUGAGUGAAAGGACUUUACGUCUUGCCUAAGUGUUAGAGAACACUGUGAGUUCGCGGGACUCCAGGCUAAGAAGGGAGGUAUUCCUCUAUAGGGAUACCUUGACUUCGAUGUCUCGGAUUCACGUUCCUG
Molecule: non-coding RNA, 227 nt
Organism: Pelobates cultripes (western spadefoot toad)
Lineage: Eukaryota; Metazoa; Chordata; Amphibia; Anura; Pelobatidae
Source: the annotation of a GenBank genome assembly